CAAUAGCGUAUAUUUAAGUUGUUGCAGUUAAAAGCUCGUAGUUGGAUUUCGGUUGAGAGCGGCCGGUCCGCCGUUUGGUGUGCACUGGCUGGUCUCAACUUCCUGCGGAGGACGCGCUCUGGGCUUAACGGUCUGGGACGUGGGCAGUCCGCGGUGGUUACUUUGAAAAUUAGAGUGUUCAAAGCGGGCUUACGCUUGAAUAUUUCAGCAUGGAAUAACACUAUAGGACUCCUGUCCUAUUUCGUUGGUCUCGGGACGGAGUAAUGAUUAAGAGGAACAGUUGGGGCGGAUUCGUAUUAACGCGUCAGAGGUGGAAUUCUUGGAUUGCGUUACGACGAACUACUGCGAAAGCAUUUGCCAAAGAUGUUUUCAUUGA
This 376-nucleotide ribosomal RNA is filed under the name uncultured eukaryote. Its description in RNAcentral is "bacterial SSU rRNA". It matches the Rfam family "Eukaryotic small subunit ribosomal RNA", at positions 592 to 976 of the family's 1831-position model. The record is from RNAcentral.